This 1673-nucleotide ribosomal RNA is filed under the name Sternopygus dariensis. RNAcentral describes it as "16S ribosomal RNA". The stretch from base 83 to 1580 matches the Rfam family "Bacterial large subunit ribosomal RNA". Lineage: Eukaryota; Metazoa; Chordata; Actinopteri; Gymnotiformes; Sternopygidae. The record is from RNAcentral.
GCCAAAAAGCUAGCUUAAAAACUAAGAAUAACAAAACAACAUUAUUAUAUCUUAUUUUACCCAAACAAAUAAAAUAAACCAUUCUCCUGCCUCAGUACGGGCGACAGAAAAGGCACACCCCCUAAGCAAUAGAAAAAGUACCGUAAGGGAAGGCUGAAAAAGAAAUGAAACAACCCAUUUAAGCAUAAAAAAGCAGAGACUAAACCUCGUACCUUUUGCAUCAUGAUUUAGCCAGUACCUCUGAGCAAAGUGCCCUUUAGUUCAAAGCCCCGAAACCAAGCGAGCUACCUCGAGACAGCCUAAAUAGGGCCAACCCGUCUCUGUGGCAAAAGAGUGGGAAGAUCCCCAGGUAGCGGUGACAGACCUACCGAGCUUGGUGAUAGCUGGUUGCCUAAGAAUUGGAUAGAAGUUCAGCCUCGUACUCCUCACCCCAUAAAACACAAACAUUACGGACACGAGAAACAUACGAGAGUUAAUCAAAGGGGGUACAGCCCCUAUGAAACAGGACACAACCUUACCAGGAGGUUAAAGACCACACACACUAAAACAACUGCUCCGGUGGGCCUAAAAGCAGCCACCCGUAUAGAAAGCGUUAAAGCCCAGGCAGAAAAAAGUUCAUUAUUCAGGUAUUUUAUCCAAAACCCCUAACCAUACUAGGCCCCUCCAUGCUAACAUGGAAGAGACCCUGCUAAAAUGAGUAACAAGAAGAAAACUUCUUCUCCCGACCCAAGUGUCAGCUAGAUCGGACCAACCACUAGCAAUUAACGAACCCAACCAAAGAGGGCACUGUGACCUUAACAAAAAACAAGAAAACCCCACAUACAAAUAAUCGUUAACCCCACACUGGAGCGCCAUAAGGAAAGACUAAAAGAAAAGAAAGGAACUCGGCAAACACAAGCCUCGCCUGUUUACCAAAAACAUCGCCUCCCGCAAAACUCAAUGUAUAGGAGGUCCUGCCUGCCCAGUGACUGUUAGUUCAACGGCCGCGGUAUUUUGACCGUGCAAAGGUAGCGCAAUCACUUGUCUUUUAAAUGAAGACCUGUAUGAAUGGCAAAACGAGGGCUUAACUGUCUCCCUUUUCCAGUCAGUGAAAUUGAUCUACCCGUGCAGAAGCGGGUAUAAAAAUACAAGACGAGAAGACCCUUUGGAGCUUAAGACCUAAACCACCUAUGUUAAUAAACUUAAUAAACUAGCUUAAACUAAAUAGCACUGGCCCAAGUCUUCGGUUGGGGUGACCGCGGGGGAAAACAAAGCCCCCACGUGGAAUGGGAAUAAUCCCCUAAAACUAAGAGAGACAUCUCUAAGCCGCAGAACAUCUGACCAAAAAGAUCCGGCUACCCAAAGCCGAUUAACGAACCAAGUUACCCUAGGGAUAACAGCGCAAUCCCCUCCCAGAGUCCCUAUCGACGAGGGGGUUUACGACCUCGAUGUUGGAUCAGGACAUCCUAAUGGUGCAGCCGCUAUUAAGGGUUCGUUUGUUCAACGAUUAAAGUCCUACGUGAUCUGAGUUCAGACCGGAGAAAUCCAGGUCAGUUUCUAUCUGUAACGACAUCUCUCCUAGUACGAAAGGGCCGGAGAGAUGGGGCCAAUACUACAAGCACGCCCUACCCCAACCUAAUGAACCCAACUAAACUAGGUAAAGAGCGAACAACACACAACCCAAGAUAAGAGUU